Molecule: long non-coding RNA, 566 nt
Organism: Gavialis gangeticus (Gharial)
Lineage: Eukaryota; Metazoa; Chordata; Crocodylia; Gavialidae
Exons: 3
Source: RefSeq, a predicted model, not a curated record
UCAGCUGGGAAAAAUACCUUUUGCUUCCUGGUCACCAUCUACACGCGUGUUGUGGCAGCAUAACUAACUCCACUGUAACAUAGUGCUUGUACCUGACAGUACUGUCCUACAGCAGAGUUAAUUAGUUUACUGUGGCCUAAUAGUACUGCACCUGUAGAUGGUGACACUUUUCUGCGGAGCUAAAUAGGAAACUCCACAGUAAAGCACACUUGUAGAUGCACUCAAUGAGUAGAAAAUGCUUAUUGCAUCUCCACUGAACAUGCCCCCAGCACCACUGUCCUUCACUGUCCGCCACGUACUGUUGUGCAACACUGAGGAUAGGAUGUGCUUCAGGCUUCACAGGCUUCAUUUCCAGACAAGCCACAGCCACAGCCAUCUCCUAUCAAGAGUCAGGAGAUGACCAGUGAGUCUUAGCUCUUAGACACAUUGGGUGCAUCUACACAAGAUGCUUAAUGUGCAGAAGAAAGAUUCUGCUGUGUAUUAGCGCGGCUGGCAAAAACCGUGCUAAUGUGCAGUAGACAGUUUAACGCACGUUAAAAUUACAAAAACUGUUAAUCCGUGCUAAU